Molecule: transfer RNA, 73 nt
Filed under: Dehalococcoidales bacterium
Lineage: Bacteria; Bacillati; Chloroflexota; Dehalococcoidia; Dehalococcoidales
Description: tRNA-Glu
Rfam family: tRNA
About the family: Transfer RNA (tRNA) molecules are approximately 80 nucleotides in length. Their secondary structure includes four short double-helical elements and three loops (D, anti-codon, and T loops).
Source: RNAcentral
GCCCCCAUCGUCUAGAGGCCCAGGACGGCACCCUUUCACGGUGUUGACAGGGGUUCGAAUCCCCUUGGGGGUA